This 63-nucleotide transfer RNA is filed under the name Limenitis elwesi. RNAcentral describes it as "tRNA-Cys". Lineage: Eukaryota; Metazoa; Arthropoda; Insecta; Lepidoptera; Nymphalidae. The record is from RNAcentral.
AGCUUUAUAUUCAAAUAAUGAUAUAAAAUUGCAAAUUUUAAGGUGUAAAUAUUACUAAGGCUU